Molecule: long non-coding RNA, 201 nt
Filed under: Mytilus galloprovincialis (Mediterranean mussel)
Lineage: Eukaryota; Metazoa; Mollusca; Bivalvia; Mytilida; Mytilidae
Source: RNAcentral
UAUAUUUUCUCCAAUUUAUUUAUUGUAGCCCUGUCGUGUAAUGUUGUCAUCACAAUGUUAUAAUUAACACAGACAUUAAAGCGGGAGGUUUGGCAUGCCACAAAACCAGGUUCAACCCACCAUUUUUUCAUAAAAGCCCUGUACCAAGUCAGGAAAAUGGCCAUUGUUACAUUAUAGUUCGUUUCUGUGUGUGUUACAUUU